Molecule: transfer RNA, 83 nt
Filed under: Schistocephalus solidus
Lineage: Eukaryota; Metazoa; Platyhelminthes; Cestoda; Diphyllobothriidea; Diphyllobothriidae
Rfam family: tRNA
About the family: Transfer RNA (tRNA) molecules are approximately 80 nucleotides in length. Their secondary structure includes four short double-helical elements and three loops (D, anti-codon, and T loops).
Source: Rfam by way of RNAcentral
GGUCUCGUACCUCAAUUGGCUAGAGUGUUGGCUGUAAUAAAGCCUUCCCCUUGCUGGCGUGGGUUCGAGUCCCACUGAGAUCA